AUUGCCGUUUCGAUAUUCACCGUUAACACACAUUUUGACGGGCGCUUUCGGUUUUAGUUUUAUUGUGAUAUUUAAUAUAACCAGAGUUUAUGUGUUUGCAUGUCCGUCCCCAUCUAAAUGAAAUGUCUUACACAUAUCAACGCGUAUACGAAUACGGCAAUAAUAAGUAAGUAUAUCAAACGACGACGACGUAUUUUAUACGAGUCUAUUUACGUUACCGUAAUAUAUUUUUACAGUAUUGU
Cinara cedri is the source of this 242-nucleotide non-coding RNA. The record is from the annotation of a GenBank genome assembly. NCBI's taxonomy places the organism in Eukaryota, Metazoa, Arthropoda, Insecta, Hemiptera, Aphididae.